UACGGAGGGUGCGAGCGUUGUCCGGAAUCAUUGGGCGUAAAGGGCACGUAGGUGGCGGGACAGGCGUGCGGUGAAAGCUCGGGGCUCAACCCCGAGUCGGCCGUGCGAACUGUUUUGCUUGAGCACUGUAGAGGCAGGCGGAAUUCCGGGUGUAGCGGUGGAAUGCGUAGAGAUCCGGAAGAACACCGGUGGCGAAGGCGGCCUGCUGGGCAGUAGCUGACACUGAGGCGCGACAGCGUGGGGAGCAAACAGG
This 253-nucleotide ribosomal RNA is filed under the name uncultured bacterium. Its description in RNAcentral is "partial 16S ribosomal RNA". It matches the Rfam family "Bacterial small subunit ribosomal RNA", at positions 524 to 776 of the family's 1533-position model. The record is from RNAcentral.